UACGUAGGGUGCGAGCGUUGUCCGGAAUUAUUGGGCGUAAAGAGCUCGUAGGCGGUGUGUCGCGUCGGUCGUGAAAACUUGGGGCUUAACUCUGAGCUUGCGGUCGAUACGGGCAUCACUGGAGUUCGGCAGGGGAGACUGGAAUUCCUGGUGUAGCGGUGAAAUGCGCAGAUAUCAGGAGGAACACCGGUGGCGAAGGCGGUUCUCUGGGCAUUUACUGACGCUGAGGAGCGAAAGUGUGGGGAGCGAACAGG
RNAcentral lists this ribosomal RNA (254 nucleotides) under uncultured bacterium. Its description in RNAcentral is "partial 16S ribosomal RNA". It matches the Rfam family "Bacterial small subunit ribosomal RNA", at positions 524 to 776 of the family's 1533-position model. The record is from RNAcentral.